GCUAGUGGUUAGAGCAGGGAGGGCUGGGAGCCCCACCCCUGCCAUGUCCGUGUGUCUGUCCGUACGUCGAUGUCUCCGUAUCUCUGCAGCUCAUGUUCACCCAAAAGACGGAUCGGAAGGUCGUGGUGCUGGGCUGCGACCAGCGCGACCCGGCCUGCGUGUUCUCCGUCCGCAGCUCUGUCCAGGUGUGUGUGUCCGUCUGUCUGUGCCUGUCCCCCGCCGUCUCUGCUCUGGCUGUCUGUGCUCGUCUGUGUCUGUGCCCCUUCCUGUCCCCCACCUCGACGGCUAGGAGGGGGCAGAGCCCAGGGCUCGGGGUGGGGGGCAGAGCCCGGGGGUGAGCAGUGUCAGGGUACCUGGGGUGGGGGUGGGGUGAACACCGCUCGUCGACCCCCUUGCUUUCUGUCUCCAGAGUUCCUUCGGACUGCAGAGAUCGAGGAGCCUGCCCCGAAGACGGGGGGACCGGCCGCCCCCCCGCCCCACUCAGCGCCCCCUCUCGCUCGAAGCCAACGACUCAGAUGUCCUGGCGUUGCAGCUUUCGGCCGGGGGCGACCGGCGCUGCGUGCCACUCAGACAUCUCAACGCCCCCUUGCACCCGCUGGGGGGCCCAUACAGCAGCGUGAGCUCCUGUGUCACCAAACUGGCCGAAAUGGAGCGGAUGGUGCGGGAGGCCAUGGCAGAGAGAGAGCGGCUGCUGCAGGCGCGGGUAAGAACCCAGGAGUCCUGGCCCACCUCUCGCCGACCCCCAGCUCUGACUCACCAGAGCCAGGGAGCGAACCCAGGAGUCCUGGCUCCCAGCCCCGUCUCUGAGCCAGGGAGCAAACCCAGGAGUCCUGGCUCACCUCUCGCCGACCCCCAGCUCUGACUCACCAGAGCCAGGGAGCGAACCCAGGAGUCCUGGCUCCCAGCCCCGUCUCUGAGCCAGGGAGCAAACCCAGGAGUCCUG
RNAcentral lists this long non-coding RNA (943 nucleotides) under Gopherus agassizii (Agassiz's desert tortoise). Its description in RNAcentral is "lncRNA (ENSGAGG00000011641.1)". The record is from RNAcentral. Lineage: Eukaryota; Metazoa; Chordata; Testudines; Testudinidae.